GCCUCCUGGCGCAGUGGUCAAGCGCCAGGUGUGACCUUGUAUGGCAGGCGCAGGGCUCGCUGGUUCGAAUCUAGCAGGAGGCA
Non-coding RNA from Biscogniauxia sp. FL1348, 83 nucleotides. Lineage: Eukaryota; Fungi; Ascomycota; Sordariomycetes; Xylariales; Xylariaceae. The record is from the annotation of a GenBank genome assembly.